GACGAACGCUGGCGGCGUGCUUAACACAUGCAAGUCGAACGAAAAGGCCAUGCUUUUGUGGGUUGCUCGAUUGGCGAACGGGUGAGUAACACGUGAGUAACCUGCCCUUGACUUUGGGAUAACUUCAGGAAACUGGGGCUAAUACCGGAUAGGAGCUCCUGCUGCAUGGUGGGGGUUGGAAAGUUCCGGCGGUAGGGGCUGGACUCGCGGCUUAUCCGCUUGUUUGUGGGGUAGUGGCUUACCAAGGCUUUGACGGGUAGCCGGCCUGAGAGGGUGACCGGCCACCUGGGGACUGAGAUACGGCGCAGUCGCCUACGGGAGGCAGCAGGGGGGAAUAUUGCACAAUGGGCGGAAGUCUGAUGAAGCAGCGCUGCGUGCGGGAUGACGGCCUACGGGGUGUAAACCGCUUUCGACUGUGACGAAGAGUGAGUGACGGUAAUGGGUAAAGAAGCACCGGCUAACUACGUG
This 468-nucleotide ribosomal RNA is filed under the name uncultured bacterium. RNAcentral describes it as "partial 16S ribosomal RNA". It matches the Rfam family "Bacterial small subunit ribosomal RNA", at positions 28 to 507 of the family's 1533-position model. The record is from RNAcentral.